AGACUGGCUUCCAGAGGUGCAGUUAGUCCCUAAAAAGCAGAAGGGUCGGAUAGUAGGUUCUCCUAUCUAUCCCCAUGCAGGGAUCAAUUUAGAAGCGUAGAAUCAUAGAAUGGUAUGAGUUGGAUGGGAUAUUUAAAGGCCAACUCUCUGCAAUGAACAAGGAUACCCACAGCUCCAUCAGGUGCACAGAGCCCCUCCAGCCUGACCUUGAAUGUCUCCAGGGACAGGGCAUCCACCUCUCUUUUUUUCCUCAUAUGCAAUUUAAAUCUCCCCUCUUUUAAUGGGAAACCAUUUCCCCUGGUCCUGCCACCACAGACUCUGUUAUGGAAUCAGUUGCCUCCUUUCUGCACCUCUCAGCGUCUCCUCCAUGCUUGUCCAGCGCUGCUCCUGGACCUUCCUUGGUCACUUCUGUGAUUUUAUGACCUUCCUCAGUCGGGGAAAGCAGUUAGGAGGGGAAAUGUCCCAGGAGAGAAGGGAUAGGAGAGAAUAGUGUAAGAGUGUAGAAUAGAAUAACCCUGAACAAAGAGAACACUGAACGAAGUAAGAGGAUGCUGAUCAAAGUAAGAGACAACUGCAGUUCCUAGCAAAGCACAGGGAUGAGCCCGGCUGCUGUCUGCAGAGCCAUGCUGAUCCUGCAGCCCAGCUGCGAGGCUGGCUUACUGCAGCAGGCUUUCCCUCUAGUGGAGGAGCACAGGAAAGGAUUCCUGUGCUGGAGGAGACAGCACAGAUCCCUCCGGACCUGAGUUUGCCCAUCAUGUGCUGAUGUGAUGCUGGGGAAACUUGUGGCAAAUGCAACCUCGGGAAAGAAAACCUUCCUCUGCACAUGGAAAGCAGGAGGGCUCUGUCUGCAAACCUGCCUCCAUCACUAUCUGCAGAGGAAUACGACCGAAAUGCCAUCAUCUCCCAAACACCACUCAGCUUUGAAGUUUCCCAGGGAGCCAUUUUCCUGCACCAGCUGCCAACUGACGGACACUUGAUUCACUGAUGCAAAGGUUACAAAUAAAGAAGGGAAGGAGUGGUGACGAAUGUGACCAAGGAUGACAGCACAAGGCUGGGCCCUGUUCAGGAGGACACAGGACCUCUGCAGCAGCAAAAUAUGGGAUCUUCACGCAGCAGUUCAUUUCCUUCCUCAGCUUCAGAGAUCAUAUCUUCUUAUGCAAGAUUUAAGCAACGUGUCUUAUUUCGUAUUAUUUCUUCUUCUCUCUUUUUUAAAAAAUUCUUUUUAUUAUUUUUUUUUCUUUUACUGUUUUAUUCAUCAAAACCAGAUGCUUUGACCCAGUUAACCUCCAGGCUCAGUCUGCUUGGGACGCUACAGACAUGCUGCCAUCCCAUUGAUCUGAGAGUGCUUGAGUCAGCAUGCUGGCUUCAAGCUGGUGCAGAGCAGGCUGAGCUAUGCUGCAUGGAGAAUAUUUCCUCCCAGGGAUGCCCACUGCCAGCCAGACCAGACUGACUUGGACCAGCCUCACUCUUCCCAAGUUCUUGCCAAAGAGCUGGGACAAAUCUCAUUCCAGAGGAUUGCUCCAAAGGGCUUCCCCUGGCUGCCCAGCCUGCAGUGUGAGCCUGGUUUCUCCCUCCUGUGUCCUUGCUUUGGCAAGAAGCAAUAGCACUGAUGGUGGUGAGACCUCUGGUGAGGAUGUUCCCUGUGAUCCGUGGCUCUACAGACCCACCCAGUAGUUGAUAAUUCUUUCAAAUGUACACACAGUCACAGCAUCCCCAUUGAUAUAUUUCCUAUAAAUCUCUAUUAAGCUGAAAAGAGGCUCAUUCUACUGGGAUUUACAUUACAAAGGCUUUUCACAGCAAUGUGGGUUCUUCACAGCCACAGGGAUUUCUCUUUCUACCAUCAGAAGAGACGAGGGAGGCUGAGACUGCAGGAUGGUCUCCUUGAAUUGUCUCUCUUACAGGAGCUGGGAGCAUUUUUCUGCCUGCCCAAAGUGCCAAAACUACUGCCCACCUAUCUAUGCAUUCUGCUGUCACCUUCCCUUCACGAAGGUACCAUCGUUUACAUAGUGCACCCAACACCCUCCAGCUGGAAUCACCACUCAAGCACUGUUUUGAUGUUAUAUUGCUUUUGUGUAUGUAUGUAUACACAUAUGUAUACAAAUAUGCUUAUAAAGAGUUGUGGUGGCAUUUGUCCUGUUGAUUCAUCCAAGGCGAGGCUGAUUAGUUUGACUCGUUAUUCCCUAACAUCUUCCUUAAGGACUGAGUUGAAGGAAUCCUCAUAAUGAAAUUUGAAAGUGGGACAAGGACGUGGAUAGGAAAAAAAAAAUAAAGAAAACGUUCUGGAGAGAUCAGUAGCGUGGUCAGGAAAUGAAUACACAAAAUCUUCCACUUGGAAAAUGAAAGUUAAGACUGCUGGAGAAAAAUGAUCUGAAACAGCUCUUCAGCUCAGCAAAGUAACCUGGCAGGCGUGGAUUCUGAAACGAAUGGAGCAGGGUCAGCUAGGAGCAAGCUGGGCAGGCAGAGAGCCCUGUCAGUCCCCUCAAACCUGGCUUCUUGAAGCAGCGUGUGCAGUUCUGAAUGGGGAAUGACAAUUAGGACAGUCAGAAAGCACAGCCUUGAAGUUGUUUUCCUUGGAAAAUUAGAUUUCUAACACAUGAAAACAUUUAAGGGAACAAUAUUUGCUUUCCCUGACAACCUGGCUGUAUUUCUCGCUUUUGUUUGUCAGAGAUGUAUAGAUUAAAAGGUGAGAAAUGACUCUGUUAACCUUUUAAUCUGAUCUGUUGGUUCUAACCGAGGCUGAGUAAUUUCAUCUGUUUACUCUGCGUUGCACUCCCUGAUUUGGGUUUGGACGGUGCCCUGCAGGCAGGUGUCCUACAUACCCAGAGAACCUUCUGGGCUUUGGGGUGA
Long non-coding RNA from Gallus gallus (chicken), 2847 nucleotides. NCBI's taxonomy places the organism in Eukaryota, Metazoa, Chordata, Aves, Galliformes, Phasianidae. The record is from Ensembl.